This 182-nucleotide non-coding RNA is filed under the name Orbus hercynius. RNAcentral's name for it is "6S / SsrS RNA". It matches the Rfam family "6S / SsrS RNA". Rfam says of the family: E. coli 6S RNA was the first non coding RNA to be sequenced, but its function was unknown until recently. It consists of 184 nucleotides that fold into an extended hairpin structure with a large single-stranded internal bulge. The 6S RNA specifically associates with RNA polymerase holoenzyme containing the sigma70 specificity factor. The record is from Rfam by way of RNAcentral. Lineage: Bacteria; Pseudomonadati; Pseudomonadota; Gammaproteobacteria; Orbales; Orbaceae.
CUGUCUCUGAGAUGUUCGCCAAUGGGUUUGUCCCCUGAGCCGAUAAUCUUUAUGAUAGAGCAUCUAUGGUUAUUACUCGGUGUGUAUGCCUUCUUGUUAAGGAAACCUAAAGAGUAAGCGUAGUGCUCACCUUGAACUUCGGGUUCAAGGGUUACAAUCCGUAACGGCAUCUUGGAGUCUUU